GUGGGGAAUAUUGGACAAUGGGCGCAAGCCUGAUCCAGCCAUGCCGCGUGAGUGAUGAAGGCCUUAGGGUUGUAAAGCUCUUUCAGUGGGGACGAUAAUGACGGUACCCACAGAAGAAGCCCCGGCUAACUUCGUGCCAGCAGCCGCGGUAAUACGAAGGGGGCUAGCGUUGUUCGGAUUUACUGGGCGUAAAGCGCACGUAGGCGGAUCGUUAAGUCGGGGGUGAAAUCCUGGAGCUCAACUCCAGAACUGCCUUCGAUACUGGCGAUCUUGAGUACGGAAGAGGUGAGUGGAACUCCUAGUGUAGAGGUGGAAUUCGUAGAUAUUAGGAAGAACACCAGUGGCGAAGGCGGCUCACUGGUCCGGUACUGACGCUGAGGUGCGAAAGCGUGGGGAGCAAACAGGAUUAGAAACCCUAGUAGUCC
Molecule: ribosomal RNA, 425 nt
Filed under: uncultured bacterium
Lineage: Bacteria
Description: partial 16S ribosomal RNA
Rfam family: Bacterial small subunit ribosomal RNA
Source: RNAcentral